AUUGAACGCUGGCGGCAGGCCUAACACAUGCCAGUCGAGCGGAUGAAGGGAGCUUGCUCCUGGAUUCAGCGGCGGACGGGUGAGUAAUGCCUAGGAAUCUGCCUGGUAGUGGGGGAUAACGUCCGGAAACGGGCGCUAAUACCGCAUACGUCCUGAGGGAGAAAGUGGGGGAUCUUCGGACCUCACGCUAUCAGAUGAGCCUAGGUCGGAUUAGCUAGUUGGUGGGGUAAAGGCCUACCAAGGCGACGAUCCGUAACUGGUCUGAGAGGAUGAUCAGUCACACUGGAACUGAGACACGGUCCAGACUCCUACGGGAGGCAGCAGUGGGGAAUAUUGGACAAUGGGCGAAAGCCUGAUCCAGCCAUGCCGCGUGUGUGGAGAAGGUCUUCGGAUUGUAAAGCACUUUAAGUUGGGAGGAAGGGCAGUAAGUUAAUACCUUGCUGUUUUGACGUUACCAACAGAAUAAGCACCGGCUAACUUCGUG
RNAcentral lists this ribosomal RNA (484 nucleotides) under uncultured bacterium. Its description in RNAcentral is "partial 16S ribosomal RNA". It matches the Rfam family "Bacterial small subunit ribosomal RNA", at positions 30 to 507 of the family's 1533-position model. The record is from RNAcentral.